RNAcentral lists this transfer RNA (78 nucleotides) under Microgaster campestris. RNAcentral's name for it is "tRNA-Ala". Lineage: Eukaryota; Metazoa; Arthropoda; Insecta; Hymenoptera; Braconidae. The record is from RNAcentral.
AGAUUAAUAGUUUUAAAUAAAAUAUUUAAUUUGCAUUUAAAAGAUAUUUUUAUAAUUUAAUUUAAAUUAAUUAAUUUA